This 396-nucleotide ribosomal RNA is filed under the name uncultured bacterium. RNAcentral's name for it is "bacterial SSU rRNA". It matches the Rfam family "Bacterial small subunit ribosomal RNA", at positions 113 to 509 of the family's 1533-position model. The record is from RNAcentral.
ACACGUAUCCAACUUUCCCUUACUCGGGUAUAGCCUCGGGGAAACUGAGAGUAAUCCCCGAUGUGGUGCACGGAAAGCAUUUUUGCGCACGAAAGAGUUUAUCGGUAAGGGUGGGGAUGCGUUCCAUUAGGUAGUAGGCGGGGUAACGGCCCACCUAGCCGAUGAUGGAUAGGGGUUCUGAGAGGAAGGUCCCCACAUUGGAACUGCGACACGGUCCAAACUCCUACGGGAGGCAGCAGUGAGGAAUAUUGGUCAAUGGGCGAGAGCCUGAACCAGCCAAGUAGCGUGCAGGAUGACGGCCCUAUGGGUUGUAAACUGCUUUUGUGCGGGAAUAACGGUCGACACGUGUGUUGAUGUGCAUGUACCGUACGAAUAAGGAUCGGCUAACUACGUGCC